Molecule: long non-coding RNA, 3313 nt
Filed under: Carassius auratus (goldfish)
Lineage: Eukaryota; Metazoa; Chordata; Actinopteri; Cypriniformes; Cyprinidae
Description: lncRNA (ENSCARG00000036596.1)
Source: RNAcentral
AUGUUGAUGCAAAAACAGUGUGAUUUUAUAUAUGUAUGUAUGUAUGUAUAUGUUAAUAUUUUAUUGAAACCAUUGAUGUCCCUCUUUGCAGAACUCAAACUAACUGGAGUUAAGGACACACAAGUCUGCUUGUGUGAGGAGGUGGUUUUCUCAGCUUCUUCUGAAGAGAGGGAAAGAUCGUUUAAGAUGUUAAAAGCAAGAGACAUGGGAGAUCAUCAUUCCCUUGAGAUUUUAUAACUCAAACCAACUUUGGAGUUGUCUGAUUUGGAGAGUCAUUAUUCUUGGUCUGCGCUCUUAGAGGUAAAGUUCACACAAAAAAUCAUUUACUUGCCCUCAAGUCAUUCCAAACCUAUAAGACUUUUGUCUGUCUUUACAACAUAAAUUAAUAUAUUUUUAGUUUUCUCAUAAUAUUUGUUAAUCCAUUUAUAGUUUAGAUAAUCUGUAUUUUCAAGCUUCAUAAAUAUAGAGUUAUUGUAGAAGUAAAUUCUGAUAUUUAUAUAUGAAUACAUCUUAAAUUAUAUGAUAGCAAACAUGUAUGUUCAAAAUAAAAUAUUGGUCUCCCAGACCAGCAAUGGAGGACACAAAAAGAGAAUAUUAAAUAUAUUCAUAUGUUUUCCAAAAAAUGAACAGGGUUUGUAUGAGUCUGGAAAAACAUGAGGAGAGUAAAUUAUAAACAUUUUAAUUAUUUGGUGUACUAACGGUUUGAAGAGCAGCCCUCCAUGUACGUGAAUAUUGUGAGGUAUGUGAAUGUCAUGUCUGUUUUAAUGUUUCAGUAAAGAAGCUUUCUGAAAGCAAUAUUUAUUCAAACAAUAUCGCAUGUCCUCACACUAGUGCUGCCAUUAUAGCAUUCUGGAGCGCUGUGGUGGACUGAGACAUUAAACAACCACACUAAGUGUUGAAACUUUAAAACAGAUUAUUUACCUAUCCUUACAGAUGUGAAUAAACCUCUACCUGAAAAUGGAUAGUUUAAUUAAAUGUUUAAUUUUUUCAAAUGUGUUUCUCUUAGGCCACUGAUGAAGAGCAGGCGGUGACUGGGAUGAAUGCUGGUCAGAGAGGAGAAUCUUCUUUCCCCUAAACUGAUGCAGCGGUGGUUUUAAAGGAGGACGCUGCCCUGGAUGAUGUAGAAGAUGUCACAUGCUGUGCUGAUGGGGUUUCUUCAUGAUUACAUCAGUUAUGCUAAAGAGAUCAUGAAAAUUGACAGUGAUGCAUGAUCUGUAUUCAUGGACUAUGAAACAAACUGUAAGUGUAUAAUUUGUUAAAAAAAAAAAGUUAAAUGCUUUUUCUGUGUUGUUUAGUAGAAAAGUUUACACUCUGUCAUUCAUACACCUGCUAACAUUCUUUCACACACACACACACACACACACACACACACACGCAUCUGUUAAAGGUUAUAAUAUCAAAGUUAAUGUUGUGAUUUAUUUGUGUACUGUCAUGCCAGAAUAGUUGGAAAAACAACUAAUUGUAAAUUUAUUGUAUGUGUUUUCGUAUAUUUUUAUACAAUAUAUACAAUUGAACAAAGUCCAAUUUGAUCUUAAGUUAUAUUCAUCAAAUGUUCAAUGCUUUGUUUAUGAACUCUGUAGCUGUUAAUGCCAUCCUUUUCUGCAUUUCUUCUAACAUGUUACUUUUUGACUUUUCUCUUGUUUUUAAUAAAUAUUUUCCUUUUGGUAAUUAUUAUUUGUGUGUAAAAGUGAUAUUUAAAAUGAACAACAUUUGUAGGUUUAAUGCCUAGCUCAAUUUGGGUUAAUUUUAACGUAGAAAUGCAUUGUUUCCCCACAUGGCUGCACUCUGCGAGUUUAUUUUCUGCCAGCAGGAGGCGCUAAGAGCGGGAGAGGUAGGUUUCUCCGGUAACGGCUGCAGAGCGGUGCUGAGCUCACAAACGCUGCCUUAUCAAGCACAUGCGAAAUGAUAUCGAACAUUUUCUAAAUACAGUAGUUUUCCUUCUGAAAUACAGUGAUAAAAAAACACCCGCUCUGUUUUUUUAAACCCUGCAAUAUAGUCAUUUUAAACCAUAAAAAAGGCAACCCAGCAGGCUGGGUUAAAUAUGAUAACCCAACUGGUUGGGUUAAAACAACCCAGCGCUGGGUUCGUCCCUUUUUGACCCAGCGCUGGGUUGUCAAAAUAACCCAAAUUGGGUUAUUUUCAACCCAGCAGUUUUUAGAGUGUAUUAAGCCAGAGCUUGAUAAAACAAAAUCUGUGAUGACAGCUUGUUAUCUUUGUCAUUUAAUGCAAUAAAACGCUUGUGGGAUCGAUGGGACAUGGCGAGCGCCGAGUACAUAAACAUGAAAGCUAAUCGUGUUGAAUUCUGAUGACGCUGAUUAUCUCAGACAAUGAUGGCCUGAGCGCUGGCAGAGUCCUGCUUCAUUUCCUACCGGUUAUUCAGAGUCUCAUUUUCUGAAUCCAAACAAGCAGCGGUGCAUAAUGGAGCCUAGCAUGUGAAUGCUAUGGAGUCUCUGUGAACAGGCCGCUCCUCCUCGAGCUGCGGUUGCUGUUGGCAUGUGUCUGUGCUGACAGCGCUGAUGUGAACCUGAUGACAGAAAUCAUGUGAACGCUCUUAUCGUGACGCUUAUCGUAAAUAUUAGAGCAAUCACAGCAGCUAUUAGGCUACUUGGCUACAAAACUGUGUUGUUUACAUGCCUAUGGCUAGAACCAGAACUGAUUAAUGGUAAUAGCAGCACAUCAACAGCCAUUUGGGAAUCGUGAAGGUCGUUAUUUAAACAGUUCGACCAGAAAUUAAAAUCUGCUGAAAAGAUGCUCACCCUCAAGUCAUCCAAGAUGUAGAUGUGUUCGUUUCUUCACCAAAUUUGGAGAAAUGUAGCAUUGCAUCAGUGUCUCAUCAAUGGAUGCUGGAUGGAGUGAAUGGGUGCCGUCAGAAUGAGAGUCCAAACAGCUGAUAAAAACAUCACGAGUUAUCCACACCACUCCAGUCCAUCAGUCUUGUGUGUUUGUAAGAAACAAAUCCAUCAUUAAGACGACUUUAGCCGAAAUACGAAUUCCUAACCCAUGCAUCCUCCAGUAAAAAAAAGAGAUCUGGUCUGAAUCAGGAGAUAAAUAUGUAAGCACGGUUUACAAGCCAAAAUAGAUCUAAACAAGUGUGCGGGGAAACAAGAGAUAAACGUUUUCACCAAAUGAAAGCGUUAUUAUGGAUUAUGGACUCGUAUUUUAAUAAAAACAUUUUUUUAUUACAAACAUGCAGUUUUUUUGCUUCACAAAACGUUAAUUGAUGGACUGGAGUGGUGUGGAUUUUUUGUGGAUUAUUGUGAUGUUUUUAUCAGCUUUUUCGAGCUCUCAUUUUGGCGGCACCCAUUGACUGCAG